This 78-nucleotide transfer RNA is filed under the name Candidatus Bathyarchaeota archaeon. Its description in RNAcentral is "tRNA-Pro". It matches the Rfam family "tRNA". From Rfam's summary of the family: Transfer RNA (tRNA) molecules are approximately 80 nucleotides in length. Their secondary structure includes four short double-helical elements and three loops (D, anti-codon, and T loops). Lineage: Archaea; Thermoproteati; Candidatus Bathyarchaeota. The record is from RNAcentral. RNAcentral also lists the same sequence under 5 other names.
GGGGCUGUCGGCUAGCUUGGUCUAGGCUUGGAGACUUGGGCUCUCUAGACCCCGGUUCAAAUCCGGGCAGCCCCACCA